This 506-nucleotide ribosomal RNA is filed under the name uncultured bacterium. Its description in RNAcentral is "partial 16S ribosomal RNA". It matches the Rfam family "Bacterial small subunit ribosomal RNA", at positions 29 to 523 of the family's 1533-position model. The record is from RNAcentral.
AGUGAACGCUGGCGGUAGGCCUAACACAUGCAAGUCGAACGGCAGCACAGAGGAGCUCGCUCCUUGGGUGGCGAGUGGCGGACGGGUGAGGAAUACAUCGGAAUCUACUCUGUCGUGGGGGAUAACGUAGGGAAACUUACGCUAAUACCGCAUACGACCUACGGGUGAAAGCAGGGGACCUUCGGGCCUUGCGCGAUUGAAUGAGCCGAUGUCGGAUUAGCUAGUUGGCGGGGUAAAGGCCCACCAAGGCGACGAUCCGUAGCUGGUCUGAGAGGAUGAUCAGCCACACUGGAAAUGAGACACGGUCCAGCCUCCUACGGGAGUCAGCAGUGGGGAAUAUUGGACAAUGGGCGCAAGCCUGAUCCAGCCAUACCGCGUGGGUGAAGAAGGCCUUCGGGUUGUAAAGCCCUUUUGUUGGGAAAGAAAUCCAGCUGGCUAAUACCCGGUUGGGAUGACGGUACCCAAAGAAUAAGCACCGGCUAACUUCGUGCCAGCCGCCGCCGUAA